GUCUCCAAUUAUUAGAUAUAUUGAUUCAACUGCUAGGUGCCAAACCUAAUUACACCUUUCAUCUUUGAAACCUUCAUAAACAGUUUUGUAGAAAAUACUCCUUAUAAUCACAUAUAUCAAAACGAAAGCAAAGAGGGCACCCAUACAGAUGCUAUCUUCAUUUCAUAUGCAAAUUUGUUUUGAAAAAUCACUUUAAAACAGAUAUCCCCUUUGAACCCCAAAAAUGCAAAAUAAAUGUAAAAGUAUGAACUGACACUAUUAUUUUAUGAUAAGAACCACACAGUUUGAGUCUUGUAUACACUUAAACUGUAAAUUUGGCAUUAUCUGUACACUGUUCGUCCCUCAACAACACUUAUUUUGCAUAAGAUUGGAGUUUGACAUCACAGAUUUAACCCACAUCUAGAUCUGUAUUUUAAGAAUAAAAUAUAUUCAAAGCUCCUCCCCUGUCCAGACUGAUGAAAUAAGAGAAUAUUAAUAUUGGUCAGUUGUAUAAAAUCAAUAUUAAACACAACUCUCACUAUGAAAGUACUAUUUGUUAUUCAUAUUUAAAAAGAAAUUCAUGGCAUUGUGAUAUUAUCUUGAAAAUUAAAACUAUGCAAUAGAAAAU
This 607-nucleotide long non-coding RNA is filed under the name Mytilus galloprovincialis (Mediterranean mussel). Lineage: Eukaryota; Metazoa; Mollusca; Bivalvia; Mytilida; Mytilidae. The record is from RNAcentral.